UGCCGCGUGUGUGAAGAAGGCCUUCGGGUUGUAAAGCACUUUCAGUAGGGAGGAAAGGUAAUAGUUUAAUACGCUAUUACUGUGACGUUACCUACAGAAGAAGGACCGGCUAACUCCGUGCCA
Molecule: ribosomal RNA, 123 nt
Filed under: uncultured Shewanella sp.
Lineage: Bacteria; Pseudomonadati; Pseudomonadota; Gammaproteobacteria; Alteromonadales; Shewanellaceae
Description: partial 16S ribosomal RNA
Rfam family: Bacterial small subunit ribosomal RNA
Source: RNAcentral